Cyprinus carpio carpio is the source of this 1231-nucleotide long non-coding RNA. The record is from Ensembl. Lineage: Eukaryota; Metazoa; Chordata; Actinopteri; Cypriniformes; Cyprinidae.
GUUUCACCCACUGAUCUAUAUAUGACUGGAUCGCUCAUCGCGUUCUAAACUGCCAGCAGGCAGUGAAGCCACCGGAAGUGUUUGAUCCGCCAUCUUACUAAUCCCUACCGACAGAGAGCACCAUUGAGUCACAGCUAAAACGCUGUCCUAAAAUCACCCGAUAUGAAGCGAAUCAGUCAAACAGGACUAGUUUUUAUGUUUUGUGUAUGUAAAUUAAUGUUUACUUCAGGUGUUAUCUGCAGUGUUUACGGUCUUUUGGGGCAGUAUAAGCGAUAUAUUUAAACCGUUUAGGUGGUGUGUCUGCUGCACACUGAUGACACAGGUAACUGAUCCAACACAAAAUAUAGCCUAUUUCUUUAUGAACAUAAUUAUUCAGGAAUUAUUAAACAUGAACGUAUUAGUAUCAGAAAUGGAUUUGAAUAUAUAACAGUGAAUAAUACAAUAGCAUCAGUUAAUAUUGCUAUAUACUGAACUGAAAAGCUUAACUUACAAUCUUGGAAAUAAAGCCUUUAAAUUAAGUUAUUUCUCUGAAUAAAUUAUGAUGUGUAUAUUUUUAAUGUCAUGAUUGAGCAACAUCUAUUUCAGACUCUCCAAGAUCGCGCAAAUAUGUUUACUAGCAGUAACGUUACUGUUUACAUGUAAAAUAUUGUAUGCUAAAUUAAUAAUUAUUUUAACAACCGUUUGAAUCAUUACCUGCUUCAAAAUGAAUGCUGUUAAUGAAAUCAUUGUUGAAACAUAUUUGCACUUAGCGCUGAAUAACGAAUAAAAACACUAGCGCCUACGUACGAAUAAAACACUAUAACUAAAUUAUAUAAACAAUGAAUAACUGUACAAGGCAAAUAAAGGUAUACAAAGCAUAAAUCUUUAUUCAGAUUUCAGUAUGAGCACUUUGUCGUUUGUUUUAUAUGCUGAGGUCGUGUCCGUCUGAUGUUUGUCAUGUUCAUGAUGUUCGCUACUGUAAUGAACGUAGCUUUUUAAUAAGUAGGGGAAAUUCCCGACAUUUAAAAAAAUAACCGUUUACAUACCUAGGGUGUCUGCAUUGCAAGAAUGUACAGGGAUACUUCAGAUUUAUAAACGCUGACUUGUUAUGUCAUGUUUUCUCAUUAAAAUCAUACAAUUUCCUAUUAAUUCAAUAGAACGUUUAUGCACACUAGGGAUUACCAAUAUGGCGGCGCGGCGGCUUCACUUUAAUGACGUCAUGAGCAAUCCAGUUCUAUAUUAUAGAUCAGUG